This 460-nucleotide ribosomal RNA is filed under the name uncultured bacterium. RNAcentral describes it as "partial 16S ribosomal RNA". It matches the Rfam family "Bacterial small subunit ribosomal RNA", at positions 338 to 795 of the family's 1533-position model. The record is from RNAcentral.
CCUACGGGUGGCAGCAGUGAGGAAUAUUGGUCAAUGGACGAGAGUCUGAACCAGCCAAGUAGCGUGAAGGAUGACUGCCCUAUGGGUUGUAAACUUCUUUUAUAUGGGAAUAAAAUGUUCCACGUGUGGGAUUUUGUAUGUACCAUAUGAAUAAGGAUCGGCUAACUCCGUGCCAGCAGCGGCGGUAAUACGGAGGAGCCGAGCGUUAUCCGGAUUUAUUGGGUUUAAAGGGAGCGUAGGUGGAUUGUUAAGUCAGUUGUGAAAGUUUGCGGCUCAACCGUAAAAUUGCAGUUGAAACUGGCAGUCUUGAGUACAGUAGAGGUGGGCGGAAUUCGUGGUGUAGCGGUGAAAUGCUUAGAUAUCACGAAGAACUCCGAUAGCGAAGGCAGUUCACUGGACUGCAACUGACACUGAGGCGCGAAAGUGUGGGUAUCAAACAGGAUUAGAUACCCGGGUAGUC